RNAcentral lists this unclassified non-coding RNA (196 nucleotides) under uncultured Heterobasidion. RNAcentral describes it as "sequence contains ITS1". The record is from RNAcentral. Lineage: Eukaryota; Fungi; Basidiomycota; Agaricomycetes; Russulales; Bondarzewiaceae.
ACGAAUAUCGUGCAAGGUUGUUAGCUGGCCUCUCGGGGCAUGUGCUCGCCUUGUUCACAUAUCCAUCUCACACCUGUGCACACUCGCGUGGGUCGGUCGGGGUUCUCUUUCGAGAGAUCCCUUCCGAGCCGCGUCUUCUCACAAACCCUUUGUAUGUCUUCAGAAUGGUAUCAAUGCUAUAAAAACGCAUCUAAUA